GAAGGCAGCAUGCCGCCUUUCCCAAGAUGACUGGUGGUGUCUCCCCCAAAAUCCUGGAGAGGAUACGGCAGACCGCAGACACUGCGUUGGCAAACCUUGUACUUGCUUCAGUGUCUCAUGUUCUCUAUGGCUCACAUAAAACCAUCCUUUGUCGGAGAGGCCCAGCGGAAGAGCUGAUCCUGACCUGAAGUGAGGUCUGUCAGUGGAAGACGAUCUUCUCAGCCCCCAUCAGCUACGGAGGCUCCAUCAAGGAAUAAUGCCCCAGAGGGUCUUCACAAAACAGGGUGAUAUGGGGGAGACAGUUGACAAGCUGCCUUGUGUCACGAAGCACACAGACACCAGGGAUCUUCUUCCACUGCCUGAAGAUGCUCCUUGCCCAGCAGAAUGGAUGAAGUAUUCAUGGAACAUGCAUGAAGAGACUUUCUCCAGAAGCAGCGGUUUGACUGAAGGCAGGGGCCAGGGCGGGGAUGAAGAAGCGCCCCAAGGAGUUCUAGGCAAGGCAUCGCUCCCGGCCUCUUACACCCCACCCCGGAGGUGUGAGAACCGCCCCGCCUGUCCUUCCUCCUGCCCCACGGGCCCCCCGCGCCCCCCAGCGCCAGCGCCGGGGCCGUGACUGGCCCCCGGGCAGGAGGGGCCGGGCGGUGGGGCAGCGGGUUCAGGGGCGGCGGGCAGGUUCCCAGUUCGCUCCGGGUGGAAGAGGAGUGGGAACAGCACAGGAGGCAAGGAGAUGAAGAAGGCCCAGCACGUGCGAAAUGUGAAAUAGGACGGUCUGACAGCUGCAUUUUGAGGAUGGGAAGGCGUGUUGGGGAAAGACAGAAAGCACUUUAAAACAAUUUCAGGGAGGAGGUUUUCCUGGUUGUUUCUUGGUUUUUUUCAGAAGUCAUUAAAUGAGAUGUACAUUAUGUGUACAAGGCAAGCUAGCUUGGCAACGUUAAGGAGAUAAUAAAGUGCACCACAGAGUUUUCAUACUGUAUUUGAACAGUGUAAAUUAGUGAAACGCCAGAGAAAGCAAACUUGUUUGCACCGGUUGAGAACUUAAACACGUUGUGAAGUUAGCGUUCCUGUGCUGUUUUCAUAUUGUUUGAACUUCCCUACAGUUGCAGUAGUUACUUGUGAAUUUGUGAAAAAGAAAAAUAAAAUCUUUCCAUUCUGAUCAAGGA
This is a long non-coding RNA of Tyto alba (common barn owl), 1160 nucleotides long. RefSeq lists it as uncharacterized. Lineage: Eukaryota; Metazoa; Chordata; Aves; Strigiformes; Tytonidae. The record is from RefSeq and is a predicted model, not a curated record. The transcript has 3 exons.